Molecule: non-coding RNA, 94 nt
Organism: Podarcis lilfordi (Lilford's wall lizard)
Lineage: Eukaryota; Metazoa; Chordata; Lepidosauria; Squamata; Lacertidae
Source: the annotation of a GenBank genome assembly
CCUCUCGCAAGGGCAGGCAUUGGAGCCGCGGUUGGGAGAGGUGCUGCGCUGCGCCUCUCCCAACCGUGGCUCCUAUGCCUGCUUUUGCGAGCGG